This 1298-nucleotide long non-coding RNA is filed under the name Jatropha curcas. RNAcentral describes it as "long non-coding RNA (JCUR_LNC001522)". The record is from RNAcentral. Lineage: Eukaryota; Viridiplantae; Streptophyta; Magnoliopsida; Malpighiales; Euphorbiaceae.
GUUUUUCCAUUCUCUCUUUUCUUUUCCAUACCAACAGGAGGCAACCCGGUGGUCUCCAUCCAAUCUAGAUCAUCAAGCGCUCACAACAGGAGGCCACCCUGCGGGCUGUAAUCAAAUCUAGAUUUUCAGGUGCGCAACAAUAAGCGGCCAUCCUGUGGUUUCAGAAUAAACAAAAUUAUCAGGUGCACACGGGGGCGCCGAUCUCCCAUUUACCCGGCUAACAGAAACAGAAUCAGGAUCCAUAUAACAUCAGAAUAUAACAGAAAUCAGAAUCAGGAUCCGUAUAACAGAAACAGUCUCACAAACCCAUGGUGACCCACUUCAUCCCAAUUCCACACAAGCAAAGCACAGUAUAUGCACAGCACAAGUAAUCAAACAAUUCUUUCAAAACAUAUUAAUCAAUUAGACAUCCAACAUCAAAUGCAAAUAAAUAAGUAAAUAGUGUUAACAAUAAACAAUAAUAAUAAAAUAAAUAAUAAUAAUGAUAAACAAUAACAAUGAAAAUAAAUAAAUAAAUAUUGGAAUACUUAAAUGAAUAAUAAUGAAAAUAAACAAAUAAUUAGAGUACUUUAUAUUUAUUAUGUAUCAAAUUAUAGAAUUUAUUUAAAUAAACUUAUUAAUUAUAUUGUUAAUUAAAACUAAUCUAAAUUCUAUCGAAAUUUCGGCAGCAUCUCCCCUAAAAAUGAGAUUAUCUACCUGCUUAAAUAUCAGCAAUAUUACAUCCAUCAACCAUUACACACACAGCCCAUCCAUCGGGCAAUCAAACAAAUUAAUUUCCCUUCCUUCGUCCAAAAUAAUCACAUCAAUAUUUAAUCGUUAAUGUCAAGCUUCAACUUAUUAUAUAACAUUAAGUAAAUAAAUAAAUAAGCAAAUAAAUGAAAAAUAGCUAUUUGCUUAACCUCCACACAUUACUAGUUAAACAAUUUAAUAUAGACCCUUAACAAUCAUAUAAAACUAUAGCUUAUGUAUUCAAUAAUCAUCAACUAAAUUCGGAGUUUUUCGAUACCAAAAUUAUAUAUUACACAUUAACUAAUCAAUCUCAUAAAUCAUCUAUAAUUUAUACAUGUCUUUCUUUCUUCAUACCAUUACUAGAACCGACUUUCUAAUCAAACUCACAUAUAUAUACACUUAAUAGUUCCAAAUUAACUAAUUAAUAAAUUAUAUUAACCUCGAAGCAUGAUUCAAUCAUACUACUAAUUGCUCUAAAACUAUUCACUUGUCUAAGCCUUAAUUUAUAACUUCUCCUAACAAUAUUUAUCCAAGUUCCUAAAUUAGCUUACAUCAAUAUUAUACCGAUU